GUAUUCUUGAGAUUUCCAAAAAGGGUUGAUGAGGAGACACAUCAAAGGUCACUAUGCAAAGUAAGCACUCUCAGUGUAAGGGAUAACAUUUCAGAGAAUUGGUUGGCUAUGAAGAAGCAGAUAGUAGGCAUAAAAUUUCACUUCCAGGUUUGCCAGGCUGUCAUCAGUGGGAGCGACAGGCAUUGGUGCUGGUGCCUCAACUAUCUGUUAUCUGCAUAAAAUACUUGGAUGCACAAAUCAAAGGUUACAAAAUUUUUGGAUGACACAAAUACAGUCUUGCUUCAUGUAUGGACAUAGGAACUGAAUACCAGAGGAAUGAUUUUGACCUGCAGCAUUAAACCAAAUAUGACAGGAAGGAGACCUAACAAAGAUGCUGCCAGACCUGCUUUGCUUUUCUAGCAAGAAUCUUCAAGGACAUGAUAAGUUAAAUAUGGAGAGCUUGUUUCCCUUUCUGGGAGAGUCUAGGACCAGUGAGCAUAAUCUCACAGUAGGGUGCUGCCCAUUUAAGAUAAAAAUGAGUGGACUAUUACUUUUUCAGAAAGUAGUAAAUCUGCAGAACUCUCUAUCACUGAAGGCAAUCAAGGCUGGAUCAUUAAGUAUAUUCAAGACUGAGAGAAACUGAUUUUUAAAUCAGUAAGGAUCAGGGUUAUGGAAGUAAGGCAAGAAAGUAGAGUUAAGGAUUAUCAGAGCAAUCAUGAUCUCAUUGAAUGAUGCAGCAUAAUUAAUGGGCUGAACAGACUAUUUCUGUUACUAUGUUUUAUGGUUUUUUGAGCUUAGCUUUUUACACGUAACAGGUAGUCAAGAAUGGGUUCUGUUCUUGAAUCUGUUUGAAAGUUGAACCACAAUGCAGGUCAAUAUAAAGGAGACAUUCGUAAGUACAGAAAAUAUUCAGAUGUUAGGUCUUUAAAAAUAUAACGAUACAGAGGAAGCUCAAUAAUUCAAAGGAUGUGGGCAGGGACUAUUUCGUUCGGUUAAUCCAAUUCCGGAUAAUCAAAUGCCGGAUAACAUGGUUUAGCCAAGCAUCGUGACCUUGCGAUCUUGCCGGAUAAUUCGAUAUUUGGAUUAUUGAAUGCCGAAUAAUCGAGGUUCUUCUGUAUAUGGGAUUGUAUUCUUAAGACGAAAUGACAAAGACUAAUAUAUCCAAGUAUGCUGGUGAUACAAAGCUAACUGGAAAAACAAGCUCAUGGCGAGAACAC
Long non-coding RNA from Chiloscyllium plagiosum (whitespotted bambooshark), 1196 nucleotides. RefSeq lists it as uncharacterized. The record is from RefSeq and is a predicted model, not a curated record. Lineage: Eukaryota; Metazoa; Chordata; Chondrichthyes; Orectolobiformes; Hemiscylliidae.